This 71-nucleotide transfer RNA is filed under the name Aurelia sp. 4 sensu Dawson et al. (2005). Its description in RNAcentral is "tRNA-Met". It matches the Rfam family "tRNA". From Rfam's summary of the family: Transfer RNA (tRNA) molecules are approximately 80 nucleotides in length. Their secondary structure includes four short double-helical elements and three loops (D, anti-codon, and T loops). The record is from RNAcentral. Lineage: Eukaryota; Metazoa; Cnidaria; Scyphozoa; Semaeostomeae; Ulmaridae.
AGUAAGGUAAACUAUUGGUCAGUUACCAGACUCAUAAUCUGGGCAAGAAGGUUCAAUUCCUUCUCUUACAA